RNAcentral lists this small RNA (1308 nucleotides) under uncultured Rhodospirillales bacterium. Its description in RNAcentral is "bacterial SSU rRNA". The stretch from base 1 to 486 matches the Rfam family "Bacterial small subunit ribosomal RNA", at positions 1045 to 1533 of the family's 1533-position model. Lineage: Bacteria; Pseudomonadati; Pseudomonadota; Alphaproteobacteria; Rhodospirillales. The record is from RNAcentral.
AUGGCUGUCGUCAGCUCGUGUCGUGAGAUGUUGGGUUAAGUCCCGCAACGAGCGCAACCCUCAUCUUCAGUUGCCAUCAUUUAGUUGGGCACUCUGAAGAAACUGCCGGUGACAAGCCGGAGGAAGGCGGGGAUGACGUCAAGUCCUCAUGGCCCUUACGGGUUGGGCCACACACGUGCUACAAUGGCGGUGACAAUGGGGUGCGAAGGCGCGAGCCGGAGCCGAUCUCAAAAAGCCGUCUCAGUUCGGAUUGCACUCUGCAACUCGGGUGCAUGAAGUUGGAAUCGCUAGUAAUCGCGUAUCAGCAUGACGCGGUGAAUACGUUCCCGGGCCUUGUACACACCGCCCGUCACACCAUGGGAGUUGGUUCUACCCGAAGCCGGUGCGCUAACCGCAAGGAAGCAGCCGACCACGGUAGGGUCAGCGACUGGGGUGAAGUCGUAACAAGGUAGCCGUAGGGGAACCUGCGGCUGGAUCACCUCCUUUCUAAGGACGUUCUGGAAGCCGGAUCGCAAGGUCUGGGGUCUUGGACAAUCCUUCCAUCUACCCGGACCGGAUCGUUCCUGAUCCGCCGUCUGCGCAUCCCUUCUCGGGUUCAGAAGUCAGAGAUCAGAAGUCAGAAGUCAGAUUGGCGGGUGCCCCUUGGGCGUGCCAUGUGACUUCUGGCUUUUGGUCUCUGGGGAUCGGGUAUCGGGGCUGUAGCUCAGCUGGGAGAGCGCCUGCUUUGCAAGCAGGAGGUCAUCGGUUCGAUCCCGUUCAGCUCCACCAGAUGGUUGCUGAGCGCUGGACACGGGCUAGUAGCUCAGUUGGUUAGAGCGCGCGCUUGAUAAGCGUGAGGUCGGAAGUUCAAAUCUUCCCUGGCCCACCAAGAUUGCGCGCUGCGAAGCUGGCGCUGCUGAAAAGUUCGGAAGACGAGUGUUUGGUUUCUUGGAUCGUCUGAUCCCUGAUACCUGAUCCCUGUCUUCUGGCUGUUUGACAUUGUUGAUCGGAUGCAAUUGACCGGCUGCGGGGGUCUUUCCGUGGUUCUGGGCUGAGGGCUUUUGUCUUCAGCGCGGGAUCCGUGAACCCGUGCUUUCCCUUAGUGACUUGGGGGGCGGCAUGGCCUGUGGUCGGUCUGAUGAGAUUACUGAAAUGCUGAGAGUGCCGAGGUGGAUGGCGAAGAGGUCGUCUGCUUUGGAUCAAGCGCAAUAAGGGCAUUUGGUGGAUGCCUUGGCACUGAGAGGCGAAGAAGGACGUAGCACGUUGCGAUAAGCCGCGGGGAGGGGCGAGCGCCCGUUGAUCCGCGGAUUUCCGAAUGGGGAAACCCGG